This 253-nucleotide ribosomal RNA is filed under the name uncultured bacterium. Its description in RNAcentral is "partial 16S ribosomal RNA". It matches the Rfam family "Bacterial small subunit ribosomal RNA", at positions 524 to 776 of the family's 1533-position model. The record is from RNAcentral.
UACGUAGGGUGCGAGCGUUAAUCGGAAUUACUGGGCGUAAAGCGCACGUAGGCGGGUUUGUAAGUCGGGGGUGAAAUCCCAGAGCUCAACUCUGGAACUGCCUUCUAAACUGCAAGCCUGGAGGUCAGGAGAGGCGAGUGGAAUACCGAGUGUAGAGGUGAAAUUCGUAGAUAUUCGGUGGAACACCAGUGGCGAAGGCGACUCGCUGGACUGAUACUGACGCUGAGGUGCGAAAGCGUGGGGAGCAAACAGG